UGCAGUUCCUUUUCGGGCGGC
RNAcentral lists this non-coding RNA (21 nucleotides) under Arabidopsis thaliana (thale cress). The record is from RNAcentral. Lineage: Eukaryota; Viridiplantae; Streptophyta; Magnoliopsida; Brassicales; Brassicaceae.